GUGAAUACAAACUUGGUACUUGCUUCACGGCGAGUACCAAACCCUUCACAUCCACACACACCCUUUGUGCACCGAGUGCUUCAACGACCGACGUUUAAUUACCGACGUUGGAGAGGCAUUCAACCCAACUUUAUAAACUCAGUAUGCAAUGAAUGUAAAACGUUUUUAAUAAACAAACAAAACUUUUAACAACGGAUCUCUUGGUUCUCGCAUCGAUGAAGAACGCAGCGAAAUGCGAUAAGUAAUGUGAAUUGCAGAAUUCAGUGAAUCAUCGAAUCUUUGAACGCACCUUGCGCUCUCUGGUAUUCCGGAGAGCAUGCCUGUUUGAGUGUUAUGAAACUCUCAACCCCCUAUUCUUUUUUCGGAUCGAGUAGGUGGGUUGGAUCUGAGUGUUGCUGGUCCUUGUGAUCGGCUCAUUCGAAAUUUAUUAGCUGGAUCCUUACCUAACUUGGUUCCACUCGGCGUGAUAAGUAUCUUCGUCGAGGACAUUAGAGAGUCGCAAGACUUUCUAGUGGCCAGGUAGGGUUUGUCUUGAUCUGCUUCUAAUCCACUGCUGUGAUUUAUUUCACAGAGUACUUUCUUAA
RNAcentral lists this unclassified non-coding RNA (584 nucleotides) under uncultured Krasilnikovozyma. RNAcentral's name for it is "sequence contains ITS1, 5.8S rRNA gene, ITS2". The stretch from base 181 to 334 matches the Rfam family "5.8S ribosomal RNA". The record is from RNAcentral. Lineage: Eukaryota; Fungi; Basidiomycota; Tremellomycetes; Cystofilobasidiales; Mrakiaceae.